GGGGCGAAGCGCGGGAAUUCGAUUCAGGCCUAACACAUGCAAGUCGAACGGCAGCACGGAGCUUGCUCUGGUGGAGAAAAAAGAACGGGUGAGUAAUAUAUCGGAACGUACCCUGGAGUGGGGGAUAACGUAGCGAAAGUUGCGCUAAUGCCGCAUACGAUCUAAGGAUGAAAGUGGGGGAUCGCAAGACCUCAUGCUCGUGGAGCGGCCGAUAUCUGAUUAGCUAGUUGGUAGGGUAAAAGCCUACCAAGGCAUCGAUCAGUAGCUGGUCUGAGAGGACGACCAGCCACACUGGAACUGAGGCACGGUCCAGACUCCUACGGGAGGCAGCAGUGGGGAAUUUUGGACAAUGGGC
Molecule: ribosomal RNA, 355 nt
Filed under: uncultured bacterium
Lineage: Bacteria
Description: bacterial SSU rRNA
Rfam family: Bacterial small subunit ribosomal RNA
Source: RNAcentral